RNAcentral lists this ribosomal RNA (451 nucleotides) under uncultured bacterium. RNAcentral's name for it is "bacterial SSU rRNA". It matches the Rfam family "Bacterial small subunit ribosomal RNA", at positions 354 to 796 of the family's 1533-position model. The record is from RNAcentral.
GUGGGGAAUUGUUCGCAAUGGGCGCAAGCCUGACGACGCAACGCCGCGUGGAGGAUGAAGAUCUUCGGGUCGUAAACUCCUGUCGAGCGGGAAGAACGUUUCGCGGAUGAAUAAGCCGCGGAAGUGACGGUACCGCUAAAGGAAGCCCCGGCUAACUCCGUGCCAGCAGCCGCGGUAAUACGGGGGGGGCAAGCGUUGUUCGGAAUUACUGGGCGUAAAGGGCUCGUAGGUGGCCAACUAAGUCAGACGUGAAAUCCCCAGGCUUAACCUGGGAACUGCGUCUGAUACUGGAUGGCUUGAAUUCGGGAGAGGGAUGCAGAAUUCCAGGUGUAGCGGUGAAAUGCGUAGAUAUCUGGAGGAAUACCGGUGGCGAAGGCGGCAUCCUGGACCGAGAUUGACACUGAGGAGCGAAAGCCAGGGGAGCAAACGGGAUUAGAAACCCCAGUAGUCC